RNAcentral lists this ribosomal RNA (469 nucleotides) under Salipiger bermudensis. Its description in RNAcentral is "bacterial SSU rRNA". It matches the Rfam family "Bacterial small subunit ribosomal RNA", at positions 380 to 867 of the family's 1533-position model. The record is from RNAcentral. Lineage: Bacteria; Pseudomonadati; Pseudomonadota; Alphaproteobacteria; Rhodobacterales; Roseobacteraceae.
AGCCUGAUCUAGCCAUGCCGCGUGAGUGAUGAAGGCCUUAGGGUCGUAAAGCUCUUUCGCUGGGGAAGAUAAUGACGGUACCCAGUAAAGAAACCCCGGCUAACUCCGUGCCAGCAGCCGCGGUAAUACGGAGGGGGUUAGCGUUGUUCGGAAUUACUGGGCGUAAAGCGCGCGUAGGCGGAUCAGAAAGUUGGGGGUGAAAUCCCGGGGCUCAACCUCGGAACUGCCUCCAAAACUCCUGGUCUUGAGUUCGAGAGAGGUGAGUGGAACUCCGAGUGUAGAGGUGAAAUUCGUAGAUAUUCGGAAGAACACCAGUGGCGAAGGCGGCUCACUGGCUCGAUACUGACGCUGAGGUGCGAAAGUGUGGGGAGCAAACAGGAUUAGAUACCCUGGUAGUCCACACCGUAAACGAUGAAUGCCAGUCGUCGGGUAGCAUGCUAUUCGGUGACACACCUAACGGAUUAAGCAU